This 3347-nucleotide long non-coding RNA is filed under the name Papio anubis (olive baboon). Its description in RNAcentral is "lncRNA (ENSPANG00000039380.1)". The record is from RNAcentral. Lineage: Eukaryota; Metazoa; Chordata; Mammalia; Primates; Cercopithecidae.
AUGCCUAUGACAAGUUCUGGUGACCGGAAAUCAGUGCUGUGGACUAAAAUCAAGCUGUUGGCAAGGCUGUGCUCCCUUCAGGGGCUCCAGGGUGGAAUCCAUGUCUUGCCUUUUCCUGCAUGGAGAGCUACAUUUCUUGGCUCAUGGUGCCCAUCUGUCUUCAAAGUCAAAGUAGGACAUUUCCGACACCCACCAAAAAAGAGUGGGAAUCCACAAACCACUAGAGAAAAAUAGAGAUUUUACUGAAGAUUUUGAACAGAAGAUUAAAGAGGUAAUGUCUAUAGCUUGGCUCUCAGUAUUUCACUCCAAUAUUUUUAAGUAACUUUCUCUCAAGCUUGACUUUUGGGCCAUAGGCCACAGACCUUCUCUUUCUUUUUGAAACUUUCUCUAUUUGGUUGCACAUUAAAUUUUGUUCUGUGAAUUAUAGCAGCUACUAUGGUAACAAAAGAAGCAUACUGAAAUUCAUUCUUCUUCUUAUAAGACAAUAUAUGUUAAAACAAAUUUAAAAAAAAUUAAUGAUGACCCUCCUCCCUUUUUUGAUAGAUUCAAAUAAAAUAUCCAGAACAAUGAUAGGGAUAUAAUCCGUAUUCACUUUGCCAUUUAGUCUUUAAUGCAGUAUCUCAGGAAGUAGUUUUCCAAAGUGCUUUAUGAGCCUCACAUAAUGUAAAUAAAACAAAGUGAACUUCAUAUUUUAAGAAGGAAUCUAUAGUUAAAUAAUAAGAUGAUUUAUAUAGUUUAAUUACAAAAAUAUGCAAAAUCAGCAUCCUCAUUACAAUAAGUAAGUAGUUCAUAUCUUGAGCAUCUUUCACUUUCUGUUUCACUUUACCUGAAUGUUGAAAUCAGUAUGCAUUUUCCAAAAAUCCAAUAUGAAUGAUUUUCAUGAAUAAUUAUAGGUUAAUAUUAUUUUCUUUUCUUUUUUGCAGAGAGUUUAUUUACCUGAGCAUCAUUGCAUAAUAUCACAUUAUGGCAAUAUUGGCUCCAGCCUCUUAAGUAGUGGGACAUCAACUUGCUGUAAAAAUUAUGGUUACUACUGCAUUUAAAUUUUAUGUGGAAAAUCUGACAAAGUUGUAAUUAAUAAGUGCAAUGAUUCGUGCAUGAGGAUUUCUAUUUCCAGCCUGGACUGUAUCCAUGAAACCCAGACUGGCAUAUGCAAAUGCCAUCAAAACAUCCACACCUGGAUAGCUGACAGGCAUUUCAUGCUUAUCCAAAACUAACACUAACUCUUUCCCAACUAUCCUUCCUUCAGUCUUGCCCUCUGAGCUGGGGAGAACACCAUCAAUUCAGCUGUGCAGUCUGGAAGCUUUGAUAACAUCCUUGACUCCUUUCUUCUUUGAUAUAUUACAUCCAGUGCAUCAGCAAAUUGCAUAAUCUCUACCUCCAAAUAUAUAUUUAGAAUCGAACUACAUCUCACUACCUCUACUAAUAUCACCUUGGUCCUAGCCAUCAAGAUCAAUGACCUGCAUUUUUGCAAUCUUCUUUUACCUCAUCUCGUCCCCACCUCAGGUAUUUCUUACCAUACCAGCCAGAAAGAAUCUUUUAAAAACUUAUUUCCAAUCAUGAUAGUCUUCUGCUCAAUACCCCAAGGACAUCCAUUCUCUCACAGAGUAAAAACCAAAGUCCUAACAAAGACAAAGGAAGCCCAUAAUUAUCUGCUGUGACUCCAUUCCUCUCCUGCUUGUCUUCUGCACUCAUCUCCUGCCAGGGGAGGUUCCCACUGUAACUUCCUUUCACACACAUUAGCCUCCCCAUAGUUCAGGCACAUGUCAGUCAGAAGGUCUUUAAGGAGACUGGAACACCUUCCUCUAAAUAUACAUGAGAUUCACCCUCUCUUAUUUCACUGAAGUCUUUACACAAAUUCCCCAUCACUGAGACUUUUCAGAAUGACUCUAGUUUAAAUUAAAACUUCCCAAAUUCUACGUCUUUUUUAUCUUUUCUUUUUCUCCAGUGCACUAAUCAUCUAUUUGAUGCACUACAUAUUUAUUGUUGAUGCACUUCCCUACCACUAGAAUAUAUAUUUCAUAGUCACAGGAAAUUGUGGAUGUUUGCUCAAUGCUUUAUCCCCAGGGCUGAGAGAAUCUAGAUGGAACUCCAUUCAUACUUGUUGAGUGAAUGCAUCAUGGGAGCAAGCUAUUUAAACCAUAGAAAAAGUAACGCAUUAUUUUAAACAUUAAUGUUAUCUUUACAUAAUGACGUGAGGUAUGUAAGAUUGGCACUAUAAUAUUCACUUGGCAGUUGAAGAAAAUGAGUAGAGAAAAGAUUAAUAGUAUUUCUUAAAUUAGACCUCAGGCUUCUUGAAUUCUUUAAUGUGUCAGAGACAGUAGAUUCCUAAUGCUUCUGUAACAAAUUACCAUAUACUCCCUGGCUUAAAACAAUACAGGUUUAUUAUCUUACACUUCUGGAGGUUAAAAAUCCAAAAUGGGUCUCACUAGGCUUGAGUGGGUGUCCGCAGGGCUGCAUUCCUUCUGGGGGCUCUAGGAGAGAAGCGGUGUCAUUGCCUUUCCAGGUUCUAGAGGCAUGGCACUCCUUGGCUCAUGGCUCCCAGGUCACAGCCACAUCUCUGCAAUCUGUUCCAGUGGUCACAUCUCUUCCUCUGACUCUCCUGUCUCUCAUUUACAUGUGUAAAGACACUUGUGAUUAUACCGAACCUACCGGAAUAAUCCAGGACAAUCUCACCAAUUCAAGAACCUUAAUUUAAUCACAUCUACAAAGUCCUUCAUUGCAGGUAAGGUAACAUAUUUACACUUUGGGGGAUUAGGAAGUGAGUAUUUUUUAGGACUGUUAUUCUGCCUACUACACAAGAAUAGCAUAAAAUAUUCUUAAUUUUUUUAUUUUUUAUUUUCAUAGAUUCAGGGGCUACAUGUGCAGGUUUGUUACAUGGAAAUAUUGGAUAGUAUCGGGGUUUGGACUUCUAGUGUACCCAUCACCUGAAUAGUGAACAUUGUACCCAAAGGGUAAUUUUUCCACCUUCAGGCCAAGCAUGGUAGCUCAUGACUGUAAUCCCAGUGUUUUGGGAGGCCGAGGUGGGUGGAUCACUUGAGGUAAGGAGUUCGAGACCAGCCUGACCAACAUGGUGAAACCCUGUCUCUACUAAAAAUACAAAAAUUAGCCGGGCGUGGUGGCACAGGCCUGUAAUCCCAGCUACUCGGGAGGCUGAGGCAGGAGAAUUGCUUCAACUUGUGAGGCAGAGGUUGCAGUGAGCCGAGACUGUGCCACCGCACUCCAGCCUGGGAGACAGAGCGAGACUCCGUCUCAAACAAAACAAAACAAAUUUCCACCUUCAGCAUGAACUAUUCUAUCUUAUAUCAUGACUAUAAUUGUAAUGCUCAUUACAUUGUUAUUUUUCUUAC